Molecule: transfer RNA, 85 nt
Filed under: Candidatus Gottesmanbacteria bacterium RIFCSPLOWO2_01_FULL_49_10
Lineage: Bacteria; Candidatus Gottesmaniibacteriota
Description: tRNA-Leu
Rfam family: tRNA
About the family: Transfer RNA (tRNA) molecules are approximately 80 nucleotides in length. Their secondary structure includes four short double-helical elements and three loops (D, anti-codon, and T loops).
Source: RNAcentral
GCGGACGUGGCGGAAUUGGUAUACGCGCAGCCUUGAGGAGGCUGUGCCGCAAGGCAUGGAGGUUCAACUCCUCUCGUCCGCACCA